ACUUCGCCAUCUGCAGUGCCACUGGUUGUCAUGGUGAGGACAGGUGUCGGCUUGCACGGUGGCCGUCACAACGUUUGCCGGGAGUGACGUGCGCCACUACCGCUCAAAUUUCAUUGGUUUGAACAAGUCACGCGGCCUCCCUGAAUUUAAGGGACCACGGUGGAAGUGUAAUCCAGCAUGCGUGUAGAAUGAAGAUUCGAAAAAUCUGGAGGACAGCCCUAAUAACACACGGGCUGACGUGGGAAAGAGCAAAGACCAGGUCAUGGGUGGGCCUUGAGUGCCGUGUUCAGGAGCGCGGAAUUUUUAUCCUGUGCACAAUGGGCAGCGCUGAGUAGGGGUGUGCGGAUCUCACUGGAUUCCACGGAGGGGGAGGAAGCGUGGCCUGGAAGGGAGAGAAGACCGAACUUGAGAAAUCGAAGGGUGUGUGAGACGCUGUUUUACAAAAUGAGGGGGAGCGGAGCGCGGCGCCUGAGAACGCAAUGCUGGAGCCGGAGGGACUCGGCUCACAUGCGAGCGUGGCCUCGACGAGCUGUGUGACCUCGGACAAGUUAUUUCCUCUUCCUGGGCGUCACGUUCGCCAUCCUUCAUCACCAAUGUGAUGGGUUCAUCACCAAUCCUAACAGAGCCACAUGCAUGAAUAUGCGUAGGUGCUUAGACCGUUGCCAGGUGCUGUUGCAUUACAUAAAGUCGGUUAUGUUCUUUGGAUGCA
Molecule: long non-coding RNA, 709 nt
Organism: Felis catus (domestic cat)
Lineage: Eukaryota; Metazoa; Chordata; Mammalia; Carnivora; Felidae
Exons: 2
Source: RefSeq, a predicted model, not a curated record